ACGGUGCAUCUUUUAAAUUAUACAACACAUAAAAUAUUUAAAUAUAAAAUAAAAAAAUAGUGAAGCUUUUUCCUUUGUUUCCUAUGGUAUACAAAAGAAGAUCCUUCACUCACUUUUAAGGUAGAUACUCGAUUGAUGACGCCUUCAUAAUUAAAGCGUUUUUGGCCAACAAAUAAUAAUUAAAGCGUUCUAUGUCUCAGGGCAUAAUACCACUAAACUAAAUUCAAUAAAAAAAUGUAAUUAAAGAAUGCAUGAUUAUAAAUGCCUUCACCAUGCACCAGAUAUACAUUUGAACAUGGAUCAAGCGGAGCAGCAGUGAUCAACGGAGAUCUAUACCCAUAUGUGGAAACAUUAGUAAAUGUUGCCCUUGAUAAUGGAAGAAAAUCGUGGGGUUACAAGUAGACAGCAACGGUAUUUACAUACAUAUUUCUUUACGACAGGAUCUUAUCAGAGCCUCUGUCAGUAACCUC
Molecule: long non-coding RNA, 470 nt
Organism: Neltuma alba
Lineage: Eukaryota; Viridiplantae; Streptophyta; Magnoliopsida; Fabales; Fabaceae
Exons: 2
Source: RefSeq, a predicted model, not a curated record